RNAcentral lists this ribosomal RNA (482 nucleotides) under uncultured Actinomycetes bacterium. Its description in RNAcentral is "bacterial SSU rRNA". It matches the Rfam family "Bacterial small subunit ribosomal RNA", at positions 335 to 829 of the family's 1533-position model. The record is from RNAcentral. Lineage: Bacteria; Bacillati; Actinomycetota; Actinomycetes.
ACUCCUACGGGAGGCAGCAGUGGGGAAUAUUGCGCAAUGGGCGAAAGCCUGACGCAGCGACGCCGCGUGGGGGAUGAAGGCCUUCGGGUUGUAAACCCCUUUCAGCAGGGACGAAGCGAAAGUGACGGUACCUGCAGAAGAAGCGCCGGCUAACUACGUGCCAGCAGCCGCGGUAACACGUAGGGCGCAAGCGUUGUCCGGAAUUAUUGGGCGUAAAGAGCUCGUAGGCGGUCUGUUGCGUCCGCUGUGAAAACUCGGGGCUUUACCCCGAGCUUGCAGUGGAUACGGGCAGACUAGAGGUAGGUAGGGGAGAAUGGAAUUCCCGGUGUAGCGGUGAAAUGCGCAGAUAUCGGGAGGAACACCGGUGGCGAAGGCGGUUCUCUGGGCCUUACCUGACGCUGAGGAGCGAAAGCGUGGGGAGCAAACAGGAUUAGAUACCCUGGUAGUCCACGCCGUAAACGUUGGGCGCUAGGUGUGGGAUC